GCGGGUAUAGUACAAUGGUAGUAUGCAUGCUUCCCAAGCAUGAGACGGGGGUCCGAUUCCCCCUACCCGCU
RNAcentral lists this transfer RNA (71 nucleotides) under bacterium. RNAcentral describes it as "tRNA-Gly". It matches the Rfam family "tRNA". From Rfam's summary of the family: Transfer RNA (tRNA) molecules are approximately 80 nucleotides in length. The record is from RNAcentral.